AAUUUUCAAACAAAUUUUUCAUUUCAAAAUAAAGUGUUUUCAUUCAAAACAAGGCAUAAACAAUCCAUGCGUCAUAACAGAAUACAAAUCAUAUGAAUCCCAAGAUCACAAAACAUCUAUCAGUGUGUACAGAUCACGCCGGCGCCUUCCCACGGUCCUCGCUAGUACCUGAAACACAUACACAACGACUGUAAGCAUAAUUGCUUAGUGAGUUUCCCAAAAUACAACUUACACACAUACGCCUUUCCAGGCCCUGACCUUCCGGUCCAUGUGUCUCAGGGGACUUCCGUCCCUGCUGGGUAAACCUUCCGGUCCUACCCACGCCAACCUUACGGUCCACAUCACAACGCCUUCCGGCCCAUAACAUANGUGUGUACAGAUCACGCCGGCGCCUUCCCACGGUCCUCGCUAGUACCUGAAACACAUACACAACAACUGUAAGCAUAAUUGCUUAGUGAGUUUCCCAAAAUACAACUUACACACAUACGCCUUUCCAGGCCCUGACCUUCCGGUCCAUGUGUCUCAGGGGACUUCCGUCCCUGCUGGGUAAACCUUCCGGUCCUACCCACGCCAACCUUACGGUCCACAUCACAACGCCUUCCGGCCCAUAACAUAAUGCCUUCCGGCCCACAUAACAUACAUAGUACGUAUAACAAUUAACUUAUCACAUAUAGCACAUAUAUCACAUAUCAUAUCCGACCUUCCGGUCACACAGUCAAACCCUUCUGGGUACAGUAUAGUGAGAAGACUCACCUCGUGAAUAUCGAAAGCUAGCAAAUCCCGAAGUCCCUCGUGCUCGAUCCACCGAGCUACAAUCUCCCUAUAACAUCAUACAUCUCUUAUUAACACUUUUAUCUUCUAA
This 862-nucleotide long non-coding RNA is filed under the name Lactuca sativa (garden lettuce). Its description in RNAcentral is "long non-coding RNA (LSAT_LNC000210)". The record is from RNAcentral. Lineage: Eukaryota; Viridiplantae; Streptophyta; Magnoliopsida; Asterales; Asteraceae.